AUUGAACGCUGGCGGCAUGCCUUACACAUGCAAGUCGAACGGCAGCGGGGACUUCGGUCCGCCGGCGAGUGGCGAACGGGUGAGUAAUAUAUCGGAACGUACCUUUCAGUGGGGGAUAACGUAGCGAAAGUUACGCUAAUACCGCAUAUUCUGUGAGCAGGAAAGCAGGGGAUCUUCGGACCUUGCGCUGAUUGAGCGGCCGAUAUCAGAUUAGCUAGUUGGUGAGGUAAAGGCUCACCAAGGCGACGAUCUGUAGCGGGUCUGAGAGGAUGAUCCGCCACACUGGAACUGAGACACGGUCCAGACUCCUACGGGAGGCAGCAGUGGGGAAUUUUGGACAAUGGGGGCAACCCUGAUCCAGCCAUGCCGCG
RNAcentral lists this ribosomal RNA (371 nucleotides) under uncultured bacterium. RNAcentral describes it as "bacterial SSU rRNA". It matches the Rfam family "Bacterial small subunit ribosomal RNA", at positions 30 to 401 of the family's 1533-position model. The record is from RNAcentral.